UUUUUGGAGAGUUUGAUCUUGGCUCAGGACGAACGCUGGCGGCGUGCCUAAUACAUGCAAGUCGAGCGCUGGAAGCUAAUUUCAUCCCUUCGGGAUGAAAUUAGUGGAAAGAGCGGCGGACGGGUGAGUAACACGUGGGCAACCUACCUAUAAGACUGGGAUAACUCGCGGAAACGUGAGCUAAUACCGGAUAAUACUUUUUAUUGCAUAAUAAGAAGUUUGAAAGGCGGCGUAAGCUGUCACUUAUAGAUGGGCCCGCGGCGCAUUAGCUAGUUGGUGAGGUAAAGGCUCACCAAGGCAACGAUGCGUAGCCGACCUGAGAGGGUGAUCGGCCACAC
This 338-nucleotide ribosomal RNA is filed under the name Bacilli bacterium. RNAcentral's name for it is "bacterial SSU rRNA". It matches the Rfam family "Bacterial small subunit ribosomal RNA", at positions 1 to 313 of the family's 1533-position model. The record is from RNAcentral. Lineage: Bacteria; Bacillati; Bacillota; Bacilli.